Molecule: ribosomal RNA, 468 nt
Filed under: uncultured bacterium
Lineage: Bacteria
Description: partial 16S ribosomal RNA
Rfam family: Bacterial small subunit ribosomal RNA
Source: RNAcentral
GACGAACGCUGGCGGCGUGCUUAACACAUGCAAGUCGAACGGAACGGCCCUGCCUUUGUGGGGUGCUCGAGUGGCGAACGGGUGAGUAACACGUGAGUACCCUGUCCCUGACCUUGGGAUAACUUCAGGAAACUGGGGCUAAUACCGGCUAGGAGCUCUCGCCGCUUGGUGGGGGUGGGUAAGUUUCGGUGGUUGGGGAUGGACUCGCCGCUUAUCAGCUUGUUGGUGGGGUAGUGGCAUAGCAAGGCUAUGACGGGUAGCCGGGCUGAGAGGGUGAGCGGCCACAUUGGGACUGAGAUGCGGCACAGACUAGAAUGCGAGGCAGGGGAGGGGAAGAGUGCACAAGGGGCGGGGGGAUGGUGCAGCAACGCCGCGUGGGGGAUGAGAGCAUGCGGGUUGGAAACCGCUUUCGCCUGUGACGAGGCGUGAGUGACGGUAACGGGUGAAGAAGCACCGGCUAACUACGUG